GGGCCAUUAGCUCAUCUGGUAGAGUGCUCCCAUGGCAUGGGAGAGGUGGCCGGUUCGAGUCCGGCAUGGUCCACGA
This 76-nucleotide transfer RNA is filed under the name Candidatus Moraniibacteriota bacterium. RNAcentral describes it as "tRNA-Ala". It matches the Rfam family "tRNA". Rfam says of the family: Transfer RNA (tRNA) molecules are approximately 80 nucleotides in length. Their secondary structure includes four short double-helical elements and three loops (D, anti-codon, and T loops). The record is from RNAcentral. Lineage: Bacteria; Candidatus Moraniibacteriota.